Molecule: ribosomal RNA, 558 nt
Filed under: Hepatozoon sp. JPM-2014
Lineage: Eukaryota; Apicomplexa; Hepatozoidae
Description: bacterial SSU rRNA
Rfam family: Eukaryotic small subunit ribosomal RNA
Source: RNAcentral
GUUAACGGGGGAUUAGGGUUCGAUUCCGGAGAGGGAGCCUGAGAAACGGCUACCACAUCUAAGGAAGGCAGCAGGCGCGCAAAUUACCCAAUUCUAACAGUUUGAGAGAGGUAGUAACAAGAAAUAACAAUACAAGGCAGUUAAAAUGCUUUGUAAUUGGAAUGAUAGAAAUUUAAACCCUUUUUAAAGUAUCAAUUGGAGGGCAAGUCUGGUGCCAGCAGCCGCGGUAAUUCCAGCUCCAAUAGCGUAUAUUAAAAUUGUUGCAGUUAAAAAGCUCGUAGUUGAAGUUCUGCUAAAAGUAACCGGUCUGCUUUUAAUAAAGGUGGUAUCUUGGUGUGUAUUUAGCAAUGAUGUCCUUUGAAGUGUUUUUUACUUUAUUGUAAUAAAGCAUAUUCAGGACUUUUACUUUGAGAAAAUUAGAGUGUUUCUAGCAGGCUAACGCUUUGAAUACUGCAGCAUGGAAUAAUAAGAUAGGAUUUUAGUUCUACAUUAUUGGUUUUAAGAGCUAAAUUAAUGAUUGAUAGGGACAGUUGGGGGCAUUUGUAUUUAACUGUCAGA